UUGUAGAGCUGGGGAAGUGGCUCAGCAGCGUGGCACCUGUCUGGCAAGAAUGAGGCCCUGAGUUCAAUUCCUGAUUCCAGAAAAGAAAAUAGUUAAAGGGGAAAAAAAAGACCCCCAAAAAUCUCUUUAUUGUGGCCGAGGAUUUAGCUCAGUGGCAUAGCACAUGUCUGGAAAGUACAAGGUAGUGAGUUCAAUCCCCAGUACCAAAAAAUAAAAUAAAAUAAUAUUGUAUAAGUGCCUAAAAAUUUAUCUGUAAUGCUAGAAACCACUGAAUAAUUAUAAAAGUGACCAACAUCAACCUGAGAAAGUGAAUCUUCUUUUUUAAUCUAUUUUUUAGUACAUGUUUAUAGUACAUAGUGAUUACAUUACUCAUGGAGAGUUGGUCACAUAUAUAACACAUCUUAAUUCUUUUUCCCUUCUCCCUACUCUUCCCACUUCCUCUGUCUCUUGGUCAUCCCUUUUGAAGGAGAUCUGUCUCCUUAUUUCCUGUUAUCUAUCUUUCAUCUUGUUCUUUAUUUAUGUUUUGGGUUCUCAUAUAAAAGAAUCCAUGCAAUAUUUAAGCUUGUGUGUCAGAUUUAUUUCAUUUAACAUUAUGAUCACAAAACGCAUCGAUUUUCCUACAGAUAACUCAAGUUUCUCAAGUUUAACACUCCAUUGUGUUUAAGUGCCACAUGUUUUGUAUCCAAUCAUCUGUCGAUGGACAUACAGGCUGCUUCCAGGAUUUAGCUAUUAUGAAUUGUAUGACUAUAAACAUAAGUAUAAAUGUAUCACUGUAAUAUGUCUUUAGCUAUUUCAGAAAGAUAUAUAGAAUAUUCAAGUCAAGUGGAAAUUUUAUAUUUACAUUUUUAGGAAUCUCCUUACUGAUGUCCAUAAUGGUUAUACUAAUUUACAUUCCAACCAACAAGGUAGAAGCGUCUUUUUUUCUCCGCAGCUUCUCUAGAGUUUGUUAUAAUCUGAUGGGUGAGAGCUAUUCUUUCUGGAGUAAGACAGAAUUUCAGUAUUGUGUUAAUGUAUAUUUCCCUAAAGGAUAAAAAUGCUGAACACUUUUUUAUGUAUGUGUUAGCCAUUUAUACUUGUUCUUCUGAGAAGUGUCUGUUCAUUUCAGUUGCCCAUUUUUGAAAGAAAAAGAAAAAAAGACAAAAGAGGAGGGAGAAAAAGAGGGAAGAGGAAAGAAAAAAAACUUUGGAAAAGCUGAACUUGCUGGACUGGCCGAGCUCCUGACAAUAGGCCGCACUCCCUGAAGCAGGCAGCAUGCAAGCUACGAAUGAAUGACGGAGACUAAUGAAACUCUGUAAUAGGAAGGGAAGCCAAUCUGGAUAGUGAUCUUAUGCAGUGACCAAAUUCUCUUCAUUUUUCUGUACACUCAAUCCCCUUUCUUCCCUCAGGAUUCCAGGCCUGAGAUAAUCUUGACCCUCGUAGGAUUUGGGAAAUUAUGAGAGACAGUAGUGUUGAGCCAGCAAUCUCAUCCUAUAAUAUUGCCCUCUCACAAAGUGUGACCAAAAUUAAAACACAAACUGAAACAGUAUUUAUUCAAAGAAUAUCAGACAAAGGAUUCAUACCACAGAUCUAUAACUCCGUAUAAAUUCCUGGGACCAGUAAGAUCUUUCACUAAUAAAUCAGCAAGGGCUAGUUACAAAAAAAGAAAUGGUUGACUGGCAAGUUAGUGAUAAAAUGUUCAAUAUUUUUUAAAAAAUAUCAUGAAUUAGCACAAUCUAUCAAUUUCUUCUAUCAAAUUAGCAAAGAUUUAAAAUUGUUAAGUAGUACUGCCAGAAUAUGGUAAAACAGGCACUUGAAUUCAUCAAAGGUAAAAGUGUGUGUGGUAUCUGUGUAUUUACCUGAUCCUUUGAAAACCCAUUUCUGCAAUAACAUAGGAUGUGUAUUUUCUACUAAAUUCUUUUCCAUUAACUUGGGGAAACAAAAACCAAAGAUUUAGAGACCAACAUGUUUUGUCUUAUCAUAUAAAGCACUAAAAAUUCUAAAGCUAGAUUAUUUGUCAGUAUAAAAUAAAUAAAUUAUAAUAUAUGUAUCUACAUAGUACAUUACUGUUCACCUUUUACAUUUAUACUUGUUAGAGUUUUGUUAUGGUUUAGACCUAAAAUGUCCCCUGGAGGCCUCAUGCAUUUGGGAGCUCAUUGGACCCUGUACUCACUGGCUCUGUACUCAUCAGUGGAUUAACCCACUGAUAAGUUCAUAGCUGACUUGCUGUUAAGAGAUAGGACCUGGUGAGAGGUAGGUCACUGGGGGCCAUGACCCAGAAGCACUUAUCUCCCCCUCAGGUUCCUGCCACUCUGCUUUCUGGCCACCAUGGGUUGAGCACGCUUAUCUCUGCCAUGCCCCUCUGCCAGCUGAUCAUUCACUAAAGCUGAGCCAAAAUAAAUCUCUCUGUCUUUAAAUUCAUGGUGUUUUCUGUUUUGUCCAAGUGAAAAAAAUAAUGACUAAGAUAGUUUGGUGAUACGAUGAAUAUUGCACUAAAAUCACCAAAAAUGAAUGGAAGGUAUAUACUUACCCUACAGUGACACCUACCAAGAAAAACUGAAAAAUUAAAAAGGUAAGAAAAGAAAGGUAGAAAACUUCUGUGUUAUGUUCUAUGCUUGCUGGGUCUGUAAAUGAUUUUAGGUUCUACUUUCUAUAGCUUAGUUUUUCUUUUCAUAUGUAUUUUCAAAUUUGUAUCCACAUCUAAAUAUUUAUUGGGGACCUAUAAUGACUGAGACACUUUCCUACAUCUUUGAAUAAAGUAAUUAUAAAAACAAAAUUUCUAUUCUCAAUAAGGUUGCUAUAUUUAUUAAAUAAAAAUAUGCCAUGUUAGGUUGUUCAUUUAAGUUUUAAUUUCAAACAAUAAUUUCACUGUAAGUAUAUUAGCACUAACUCAGGGAGUUUGGUGGGGAUAAAUCUCCUAAAGUGAAUAUUAAUUAAUUUUUAAGAUUAUAUUCUUACUGUGAUAAAAUGCUCAGAUGAUUUACCAUUUAAAGCGUACAACUCAGUGGCAUUUAGUUUCCGCAGUGUUGUGUAGCAUCAGCACUAUUAGUUCAGACUUUUAUCACCCGGGUGGGAAAGUCCCAUGUGUAUUAACAAUUCAGACCCCACUCCCUAUUUCCCCCAGUCCCUAGUAGCCACUAAUCUAUUUUGUCUCUCUAGAUUUGUGUAUGCUGGAUGGCUCAUGUAAGUGGAGUCAUACAAGCUUUGGCUUUUGUUCUUUGACUUCUUUUAUUUAGAAUAAUGCUUUUAAUGUUUAUUCAUAUGAUAGCAUGUAUCAGAAUAUCAUUUCCUUUCAUGACUGAAUAAUACUGUGUUGUGUAUAUACAUUUUCUUCAUCCCCUUACAUGUUGUUUCACCUUUCUGCCAUUAUGAAAUAAGUAUUAGUUUUCUAUUUUAAAAAAUAAAUGUUUUUUCUCCAAAGAAUGAUGAAAAUAUUUUUCAAAGCUUUACCUAUUUCAGUGUUAAUAUGUUUAAAUAAUGCUGAGUGGUGGACCAGGCAAUAUUCAGUCAACACCACAUAUGCAUUAAAUAAAAUGUUUGGUUUUCUGGCCGAAUUUUUUUUUAAAAAGCAUAAAAUGUAAAUCUUAACCAUUAAGAAGUUUAUAUCAAAUUCUAAAAAAUGAAAGUCUGAAGUCCAGCAUUUAAUCACAAGUAAGACUUGUGCCUCUCAGCCAGAAACAACUGAGUUUAUAUUACCAAGUCAGGGCCUCCACUGGGACAGUGAGUAGGGCACAUCACAUCUGGGUGAUUAAAACACUUACCAAAAGAAGUGCCUCCUAGGAAAAAAAGAAGCAGAAGAAGGAGAAGAGGGAAAGGGAGGAGGAGGAGGAGAAAGAAGAGGAAGAAGUAAGACCUUAGCUAAAGAUAAAUCAUAUGUUCCAAUUCAUGAAGCUACCAAAAGUUCAGAAACAUGGAAGUCCCUUCAACACCUUCUCAUGGCACAUGUCAGGGCCCCUGAGGUUUUCUAAUUUACAUUAGCAAAUUCUUCUUUCCAACAGCUGGGAGAAGCUGGAUUAGAAAACCUUUUGCUGGCUCUCUAUGAAGCAGAAGACAUAGAAGCAGACAUGGGAAAACCGUGGCAUUUCUUUCUCUGUCGUCAGAACCCCAAGAAGCAAUGUCUGGCUCAAAACCAAAGGAGGCAGAAAGAGAUGAGGUCAAGUAACAGCAGUGAAAGGCCAGAAAUGCCCGGCUUCUCAAGAGUCUUCUGUGAUCAAGUGGUUCAUUCUGCGUCUCAGCUCAGGGACCUCUCCUUCCUUCCCCCCUCCUCAGGCGGAGUCUCCCUGAGUCACUGAAUUGCCCAGGCUGUGCUUGAACUUGCAGUCUUCUUGCCUGAUCCUCCCAGAAUUCUGGGCUUACAAGCAUGAGCAACCACACAUGGUACAAGAGCUUCCUAAAGUACCUUGUUUGUCACUCAUCAAAAGACCUAGAUGUCUGCCAUUUUGAACCAAACCAUAGUCAGCAACUUGGCAAGAGGCAGCAGCAGUCCUAAGGCAUCGCAGUUGUGUUGGGAGCCUACCAUUGCUUAAAAGAGACAUGAGCAGCUGUGACCUGAGCAGCUGUCCUCUUCGCAGGCCCCACCAUGCAAGUUCUGCCUUGAAGCCAGCGGACAGAGGACUGUAACCAUGAGCCAAAAUAGACCUCUCAUUUAAGCUUCAGCCACCAUGAACUGCGCCUCUGCCAUGUCACCCUGCCUUGGAGCCAACUGAGUACGGACUGAAACCUCCAAAAACUUUUCCCGCUUGCUGUUUGCAGCCACCAUGAACUGCAGCUCUGCCAUGCCAGCCUGCCUUGGAGCCAUCUUAGUAUGGACUGAACCUCCAAAAACUCCAGACCCCAGCCUUUUCCCAUGACUCAGCACUGUGUUCAGACUGCGGGGGAGGAGAACAAGAAUCACUAACAAGUAAGCCCUGUCAACCAGCAACAUGUGCAGGCUCUGCCAGUGCAGAGACAGCUGAACCCCAGCCUUUUCCCAUGAAUUAAUGUCAUUUAUGAAAUGUGAGGGAAGAGAAGUAAGCCAUCCCUGCAAACCAGCACCAUGUAUGGGCCACCAGUGGGGAGACAGCCAGACCCCAGCCUCUUCUGGCAUGCGGGCUGGGAAGCAAGAAAAGCCAAACCAUGCCUCCUAAUCCCCAUAAGCUACCAGCUGAUCUGGAGAAACACAGGCUGUGAUGAUAGCUAUUGAGAUGAAAUACAAUUUGAUGCUUGUGGUGUUUGGUGUUUCAUUGACUUUGCAGGUCUAGGGCUGGUGGCCUGAUCAUCUAUUCAGAGAAUACUGUAUGCAGUGUAGCAUCUAUUGGAGAUCCCCUUUUGAAGGCAGUAGCCACUGUUAAUUCCAUAUUAUCUUGUUUUGAAGUCUGUAUCAUUUUCAUUGGUUUGAUGGGUUGGGUUUUAUUCUAUUUGUUUUGUUUUGUUUGAUUUCGUUAUAUCUGAAGACAUGGGCAUCUAUUUCAAAGAUAGCAAGAUAUAGUACCCAUUUUGGAUUUAUUAUUGUCUUGU
Cavia porcellus (domestic guinea pig) is the source of this 5472-nucleotide long non-coding RNA. RefSeq lists it as uncharacterized. The record is from RefSeq and is a predicted model, not a curated record. NCBI's taxonomy places the organism in Eukaryota, Metazoa, Chordata, Mammalia, Rodentia, Caviidae. The transcript is spliced from 7 exons.